GUCACGACAGCCGGGCAGAAACGUGGCCCUUGGCUGCUGGCUGGGGGACACGGUCAGGCUGGGUGGCCAACAGUGGGGAAAGGGCUCUGAGCGUGGCAUCUGCAUGGGCAGAACUCGGAGGAGUCACGCAGUGGGGCUGCAGGGAUCCUGUUCCACACCUGGGUUCGGUGAUUACACGACUGGGUCUGCCUUGGUCAGUCUGGAACCCCAGCACCCCGCAAUGGUCCCGGCCACCAGGAGAUGGUCACUGAGAGGAACACAGAGGGGCUGCCCAGAACCAGCCAGCAUGUGGAAGGAGGUGCCCAGGAUAGGAGGGACCAGCUCCAAAACAGGAAGAGCGCCGGCUGAACGGAGGCCCCGGCGGACUCCGGCUUCCCAGGCCCACACCGACGUCGCCGACGUCAAUCGUCGGAAGCCCGGGAUUCCGGGGCGCAGAGGCUGCAAAGGCCCGGGGGUCUAGCGCGGUCUCCACGGGGCAGAGCGCUUUGCAAGUCUGGUACUAUUACUGCUGUCGGCGGUGUUGUUGGGACCCUUCACGUCUCUGGGUCUCCCCCCCGCCCGCCCCCCGCUGUGCCCCAUGGCCGGGUGGGUGGCCUGGGGUGGAGCAGGGAGCCAGCGGGGGCUGAGGUCCCCGGGGUGGGGGGCGUUGUAGGGACGGGAGGGGAGGCCGGGGCCCCAGACCACGCUUGGGCCACACGAGUGGCCACAUCAAACCCCGGAUCCGCAGGGACACCCUCCCCGCGGGUCGCCCGCCGCGGGAGACCCCGACACCCACGGUGACACCUCGGACCCAGGGUCACCACCGGGUGCCCUCCCGGGCUGCGGCCACACCCU
This 834-nucleotide long non-coding RNA is filed under the name Equus caballus (horse). Its description in RNAcentral is "lncRNA (ENSECAG00000054604.1)". Lineage: Eukaryota; Metazoa; Chordata; Mammalia; Perissodactyla; Equidae. The record is from RNAcentral.